GGCCCAUUCGUCCAGUCCGGCCCAGGACGCCGCGCGUCUCGGCGCGGAAACCGGCGGUUCAAAUCCCCGAUGGGCUA
Molecule: transfer RNA, 77 nt
Filed under: Armatimonadota bacterium
Lineage: Bacteria; Bacillati; Armatimonadota
Description: Armatimonadetes bacterium (rhizosphere metagenome) tRNA-OTHER
Source: RNAcentral